This 431-nucleotide long non-coding RNA is filed under the name Oryza brachyantha (malo sina). Its description in RNAcentral is "long non-coding RNA (OBRA_LNC003072)". Lineage: Eukaryota; Viridiplantae; Streptophyta; Magnoliopsida; Poales; Poaceae. The record is from RNAcentral.
UUUGUUGAAAAAAUUCCCAUAGGGAUGAAAUCCUUUAAAAUUUCAUUUAAUUUCGUUUGAAUCAAAGGGGGCUAAAUCAUUUAGGGCAUUAAGGGAAUACAUGUCAGAAAACUUAUCGUUGGUUGGUGUAUUCGGUGAUAUGCUCAUAUUAGAUUUACCACUAUAGUGCAUAUUUUGCAUUCACAGAUAGCCUCCAAAAUUAUUCCAACAACCACAAUAUGCUUUGAGCAACCAAGUUUGGGGUACCAAACCGGUGAGACAAAAAAACUGUGACCCAACCAAAAAAAGGACAAAAGCACACGGGGACUUAGGGACUCGGGCCUCCAAAUGUGGCAUGAUAGUUUGAACGGCCCAGCCCAGCACAUGAGUAGUCUCAUGGGCCAUGGCUCCGGCUGCGGCUCCCUCCUCCCCGCCGCGUUCCCGCAGCCGCC